RNAcentral lists this ribosomal RNA (869 nucleotides) under Amolops mantzorum (Kangting sucker frog). Its description in RNAcentral is "partial 16S riboaomal RNA". The stretch from base 172 to 646 matches the Rfam family "Bacterial large subunit ribosomal RNA", at positions 573 to 1301 of the family's 2925-position model. Lineage: Eukaryota; Metazoa; Chordata; Amphibia; Anura; Ranidae. The record is from RNAcentral.
GCCCAAAAUCUAGCCCAUUUUACUCACAUGACCCCCUUAACCAACUGUCUUAUAAACAAAACAUUUUAACAUUUUAGUACAGGUGAUCGAAAAAUUUCUAAGCGCUUCAGAUAAAGUACCGCAAGGGAAUAAUGAAAUAGAAAUGAAAUAACCUUAAAGCCUUAAAUAGCAGAGCUUCCCCCUCGUACCUUUUGCAUCAUGGUCUAGCCAGUUUCCCCAGGCAAAACGAAAAUUUUAGUCUGACUCCCCGAAACUAAGCGAGCUACUUCGAAACAGCCCAAAGGGGCCAACCCGUCUCUGUUGCAAAAGAGUGGGAAGAUUUUCAAGUAGAGGCGAUAAACCUACCGAGCUUAGAGAUAGCUGGUUGUUCAGGAAAAGAGUCUUAGCUCUACCUUAAAUUUUUUUAUUACACCAAACAAAACACUAGAUUUAAGAGCUAUUCAAAUAAGGCACAGCUUAUUUGAAACGGGAUACAACCCCUAAUACUGGGUUAAAUCUAGAUAUAUCAAAUAAAGUGGGCCUAAAAGCAGCCAUCUUCCAAAAAGCGUUAAAGCUUAACAUAUUGUAUCUACAAUUCCACAAUUUUUACUUAACCCUUCAUCACUACUGAACUAUUUUAUACCCCUAUAAAAGUCAUUAUGCUAGAACUAGUAACAAGAAAUUGCCCUUCUCCAAAAUGUAUGUUUAAACCAAAAUGGACACUCCACUGGUAGUUAACGUAAAUGUAAAAAUCAUAGCACCACAUACUAGAAAACCCUAUGACUCCCCAACGUCAACCUUACACUAGAACAUUACAGGAAAGAUUAAAAGAGAAAGAAGGAACUCGGCAAACCACAGUCCCGCCUGUUUACCAAAAACACCGCCUCUUG